This 185-nucleotide ribosomal RNA is filed under the name Lacticaseibacillus rhamnosus. RNAcentral describes it as "Lactobacillus rhamnosus partial 16S ribosomal RNA". It matches the Rfam family "Bacterial small subunit ribosomal RNA", at positions 1354 to 1533 of the family's 1533-position model. The record is from RNAcentral. Lineage: Bacteria; Bacillati; Bacillota; Bacilli; Lactobacillales; Lactobacillaceae.
CCGCCGCGGUGAUACGUUCCCGGGCCUUGUACACACCGCCCGUCACACCAUGAGAGUUUGUAACACCCGAAGCCGGUGGCGUAACCCUUUUAGGGAGCGAGCCGUCUAAGGUGGGACAAAUGAUUAGGGUGAAGUCGUAACAAGGUAGCCGUAGGAGAACCUGCGGCUGGAUCACCUCCUUUCUA